This 460-nucleotide ribosomal RNA is filed under the name uncultured bacterium. RNAcentral describes it as "partial 16S ribosomal RNA". It matches the Rfam family "Bacterial small subunit ribosomal RNA", at positions 338 to 795 of the family's 1533-position model. The record is from RNAcentral.
CCUACGGGUGGCAGCAGUGCGGAAUAUUGGUCAAUGGGCGCUAGCCUGAACCAGCCAAGUAGCGUGAAGGAUGACUGCCCUACGGGUUGUAAACUUCUUUUAUAAAGGAAUACAGUGAGGCACGUGUGCCUUUUUUUAUGUACUUUAUGAAUAAGGAUCGGCUAACUCCGUGCCAUCAGCCGCGGUAAUACGGAGGAUCCGAGCUUUAUCCGUAUUUAUUGGGUUUAAAGGGAGCGUAGAUGGGUUGUUAAGUCAGUUGUGAAAGCUUGGGGCUCAACCGUAAAAUUGCAAUUGAUACUGGCAGCCUUGAGUACAGUUGAGGUAGGCGGAAUUCGUGGUGUAGCGGUGAAAUGCUUAGAUAUCACGAAGAACUCCGAUUGCGAAGGCAGCUUACUAAACUGCCACUGACAUUGAGGCUCGAAAGUGUGGGUAUCAAACAGGAUUAGAUACCCGUGUAGUC